This 19-nucleotide small nuclear RNA is filed under the name Arabidopsis thaliana (thale cress). RNAcentral's name for it is "snRNA_14508". The record is from RNAcentral. Lineage: Eukaryota; Viridiplantae; Streptophyta; Magnoliopsida; Brassicales; Brassicaceae.
CAGAGUGGCCUUGCUGCCA